CUUGAUCUUCUGAGAAGGG
Molecule: small nuclear RNA, 19 nt
Filed under: Arabidopsis thaliana (thale cress)
Lineage: Eukaryota; Viridiplantae; Streptophyta; Magnoliopsida; Brassicales; Brassicaceae
Description: snRNA_19072
Source: RNAcentral